This 465-nucleotide ribosomal RNA is filed under the name Vreelandella stevensii. RNAcentral describes it as "partial 16S ribosomal RNA". It matches the Rfam family "Bacterial small subunit ribosomal RNA", at positions 338 to 795 of the family's 1533-position model. The record is from RNAcentral. Lineage: Bacteria; Pseudomonadati; Pseudomonadota; Gammaproteobacteria; Oceanospirillales; Halomonadaceae.
CCUACGGGUGGCAGCAGUGGGGAAUAUUGGACAAUGGGCGAAAGCCUGAUCCAGCCAUGCCGCGUGUGUGAAGAAGGCCUUCGGGUUGUAAAGCACUUUCAGUGGGGAAGAAAGCCUUGGGGCUAAUACCCUCUAGGAAGGACAUCACCCACAGAAGAAGCACCGGCUAACUCCGUGCCAGCAGCCGCGGUAAUACGGAGGGUGCGAGCGUUAAUCGGAAUUACUGGGCGUAAAGCGCGCGUAGGCGGUCUGAUAAGCCGGUUGUGAAAGCCCCGGGCUCAACCUGGGAACGGCAUCCGGAACUGGCAGGCUAGAGUGCAGGAGAGGAAGGUAGAAUUCCCGGUGUAGCAGUGAAAUGCGUAGAGAUCGGGAGGAAUACCAGUGGCGAAGGCGGCCUUCUGGACUGACACUGACGCUGAGGUGCGAAAGCGUGGGUAGCAAACAGGAUUAGAUACCCUGGUAGUC